CUCUAAUCGGAAGCUACGGCCCCCUUCUGGGCCGUGGAGAACGAAGCCACUGGGACCGUCCGGGGAGUGGAGUAAGCUCCUCCGAAGUCUUUCUGGAGAGACUCGGCCUGGGCGGGGGAACUCCGCCCACCCAACCCUUGGCAACCCUUGGAUAUUGGCAGUUAUACCAAUAACCAAGGUCCUGGUCUACACCUGUCCCCCCGACCCCCUUCCCCGCGUCAAAGACCACUGAUACCCGCAAGGAAAGCCGGAAAUUGUAUGCGAAUCACCUAAAUGAACUCCAGUUGCCAGCUGAUUUGAGCCGCUAAAUUCCCAGGCUCUUUCAUAUCUCUCCAGAGAACGCAUCUACAAGUAGGAAAAGCUAUCGUUUUCAUACCCUAAAAAUGAAACACUGUGGUAUUUCUGACAGAAAAUAAAGACCUCUAAAGGUGAA
RNAcentral lists this long non-coding RNA (433 nucleotides) under Pongo abelii (Sumatran orangutan). RNAcentral describes it as "lincRNA". The record is from RNAcentral. Lineage: Eukaryota; Metazoa; Chordata; Mammalia; Primates; Hominidae.